AGCAGCCGCGGUAAUUCCAGCUCCAAUAGCGUAUAUUAAAGUUGUUGCAGUUAAAAAGCUCGUAGUUGAAUUUCGGGACCAAUAUGUUGGUCGUGCCUAGGUACGUACUGUCAUGAUUGGUUUCUCCCUUCUGAAGAACCACGAUGCCAUUAAUUUGGUGUCGUGGGGAAUCAGGACUGUUACUUUGAAAAAUUAGAGUGUUUAAAGCAGGCUCGCGCUUGAAUACAUUAGCAUGGAAUAAUGAAAUAGGACGUUUGAUUCUAUUUUGUUGGUUUCUAGGAUCGACGUAAUGAUUAAUAGGGAUAGUUGGGGGCAUUAGUAUUCAAUUGUCAGAGGUGAAAUUCUUGGAUUUAUUGAAGACUAACUACUGCGAAAGCAUUUGCCAAGGAUGUUUUCAUUAAUCAAGAACGAA
This 412-nucleotide small RNA is filed under the name uncultured Entrophospora. RNAcentral describes it as "SSU rRNA". It matches the Rfam family "Eukaryotic small subunit ribosomal RNA", at positions 569 to 987 of the family's 1831-position model. Lineage: Eukaryota; Fungi; Glomeromycota; Glomeromycetes; Entrophosporales; Entrophosporaceae. The record is from RNAcentral.